Molecule: ribosomal RNA, 467 nt
Filed under: uncultured bacterium
Lineage: Bacteria
Description: partial 16S ribosomal RNA
Rfam family: Bacterial small subunit ribosomal RNA
Source: RNAcentral
GAUGAACGCUGGCGGCGUGCUUAACACAUGCAAGUCGAACGGUGAACACGGAGCUUGCUCUGUGGGAUCAGUGGCGAACGGGUGAGUAACACGUGAGCAACCUGCCCCUGACUCUGGGAUAAGCGCUGGAAACGGCGUCUAAUACUGGAUAUGUGACGUGACCGCAUGGUCUGCGUUUGGAAAGAUUUUUCGGUUGGGGAUGGGCUCGCGGCCUAUCAGCUUGUUGGUGAGGUAAUGGCUCACCAAGGCGUCGACGGGUAGCCGGCCUGAGAGGGUGACCGGCCACACUGGGACUGAGACACGGCCCAGACUCCUACGGGAGGCAGCAGUGGGGAAUAUUGCACAAUGGGCGCAAGCCUGAUGCAGCAACGCCGCGUGAGGGAUGACGGCCUUCGGGUUGUAAACCUCUUUUAGCAGGGAAGAAGCGAAAGUGACGGUACCUGCAGAAAAAGCGCCGGCUAACUACG